GAGCGAGGGCACCACACCACUCAUUUUCCUGAAAAUGCGAUCCCACGGACGCCUGAAAUCCAGUGCCAGGGGUGGAGGGAAAGCACUUUGAAAAGGCGGGUGAGGGGUCCUGCAGGGCGCUCGGCGACUUUCCAAGCCAGGGCCCCCGACAGACAGAUGCCUCUGAGCCCCCAGCCAUUGGACCCAACCAACCUGCCCUGGUGACCCCUCUGCUGGGUGGGCCAGGUUCUCCCCGGAGGGACCCAGCCUUGUGGCUGAGCAACAGCUUCCCCUCCCCAGACACAGGCCCUGAGCCUGGAGAGUGGGACUAGGGGGUUGAGGUCACCCUGCUCCUGUCACCCCCAUCUGCACAUUGGGGUAAAGGGCAGCAGUCACUCGAGAAUUAAACAAGGAGAGAGCCAGUUGCCCUGAGCGGGGGGAGGAGAGGAUGUCUGGGGGCCUGGAGGGAGAGUGGCGUCUGCUUUCCUCAUCCUGAGGAGAGAGGAUCUGCAGAAGGUUCCACAGCCCAGAGGAAGAAAGCAGGAGAGUCAGGUGCCUCGGAAAGAGAGUGGAGAGCAAAGCUGCUUCUCACAGUGAGGAGAGUGUCCCCUGUCAUCGUCCCCGCCCCCAACCCCAGAGUCAGCAGGGGCUCCGACAAAGGGGGAGAGAACAAUUCUCUCCAGGAGGUGGCGCAGCCCCUGCCUGGGGAGCUUCAUCUGAAGUCCAGGCCCCCAGCGGAGGCCAGAGCCCUCAGCCUCCCCAGGCCCGAGGUUCUUCACUGGGGCAGGAACAGGCAGCGGGGCACUGCCCCCAGGGGAGAUCUCGGCUGCAGGAAGAAGCGGCUGGUUUCCUUCAGGAUGGUUGAGAGUUGGUUUCCAUAGAGGAAUGGGAGACAGAUUGUGAAGGCUCUGGACACCUAGAAAAGGGCUGUGAAGAAUGAUGCAGCACCAAGAUGGGAGGUGGAGAAGCUGGAAAACACCUGGUCAAACCCCCUCCACAGGUCUAGGGCGGGCUGCAGGAAAGCUGCGGACAGAUCCUGGAGACGCCCUCUACAGACAACACGGCAUAGUUUUAAACUUGCAGGACAAGAUCCUAUAACCCAC
RNAcentral lists this long non-coding RNA (1082 nucleotides) under Equus caballus (horse). RNAcentral describes it as "lncRNA (ENSECAG00000053963.1)". Lineage: Eukaryota; Metazoa; Chordata; Mammalia; Perissodactyla; Equidae. The record is from RNAcentral.